RNAcentral lists this ribosomal RNA (466 nucleotides) under uncultured bacterium. Its description in RNAcentral is "partial 16S ribosomal RNA". It matches the Rfam family "Bacterial small subunit ribosomal RNA", at positions 330 to 795 of the family's 1533-position model. The record is from RNAcentral.
GCCAGACUCCUACGGGAGGCAGCAGUGGGGGAUAUUGCACAAUGGGGGAAACCCUGAUGCAGCGACGCCGCGUGAGUGAAGAAGUAAUUCGUUACGUAAAGCUCUAUCAGCAGGGAAGAAAAACCGACCAUAGGGUCGCUAGACGGUACCUGAUUAAGAAGCCCCGGCUAACUACGUGCCAGCAGCCGCGGUAAUACGUAGGGGGCAAGCGUUAUCCGGAUUUACUGGGCGUAAAGGGAGCGUAGACGGCAGCGCAAGUCUGAAGUGAAAUGCCGGGGCUUAACCCCGGAACUGCUUUGGAAACUGAGCAGCUAGAGUGCAGGAGAGGUAAGUGGAAUUCCUAGUGUAGCGGUGAAAUGCGUAGAUAUUAGGAGGAACACCAGUGGCGAAGGCGGCUUACUGGACUGUAACUGGCGUUGAGGCUCGAAAGCGUGGGGAGCAAACAGGAUUAGAUACCCCCGUACCC